UGCAAGUCGAACGGUAACAUAACUAGCUUGCUAGUUGAUGACGAGUGGCGGACGGGGGAGUAAUGCUUGGGAAUUUGCCUUUAGGUGGGGGACAACAGUUGGAAACGACUGCUAAUACCGCAUAAUAGCUACGGCUCAAAGGGGGCUUCGGCUCUCGCCUUUAGAGAAGCCCAAGUGGGAUUAGGUAGUUGGUGAGGUAAAGGCUCACCAAGCCGACGAUCCCUAGCUGGUCUGAGAGGAUGAUCAGCCACACUGGAACUGAAACACGGUCCAGACUCCUACGGGAGGCAGCAGUGGGGAAUAUUGCACAAUGGGCGCAAGCCUGAUGCAGCCAUGCCGCGUGUGUGAAGAAGGCCUUCGGGUUGUAAAGCACUUUCAGCGACGAGGAAGAUUAAGUAGUUAAUACCUGCUUGAUUUGACGUUACUCGCAGAAGAAGCACCGGCUAACUCCGUGCCAGCAGCCGCGGUAAUACGGAGGGCGCGAGCGUUAAUCGGAAUUACUGCGCGU
Molecule: ribosomal RNA, 508 nt
Filed under: uncultured bacterium
Lineage: Bacteria
Description: bacterial SSU rRNA
Rfam family: Bacterial small subunit ribosomal RNA
Source: RNAcentral